GGGCGAAUGGUUUAGUGGUAUAAUACUCCCUUAGCAUCGGUCCAAUUCGAUUGGGAGUGGUCCGGGGUUCGAUUCCCCGUUUGUCCA
This 87-nucleotide transfer RNA is filed under the name Cordyceps fumosorosea ARSEF 2679. Its description in RNAcentral is "Isaria fumosorosea ARSEF 2679 tRNA". It matches the Rfam family "tRNA". From Rfam's summary of the family: Transfer RNA (tRNA) molecules are approximately 80 nucleotides in length. Their secondary structure includes four short double-helical elements and three loops (D, anti-codon, and T loops). Further hydrogen bonds mediate the characteristic L-shaped molecular structure. tRNAs have two regions of fundamental functional importance: the anti-codon, which is responsible for specific mRNA codon recognition, and the 3' end, to which the tRNAs corresponding amino acid is attached (by aminoacyl-tRNA synthetases). tRNAs cope with the degeneracy of the genetic code in two manners: having more than one tRNA (with a specific anti-codon) for a particular amino acid; and 'wobble' base-pairing, i.e. permitting non-standard base-pairing at the 3rd anti-codon position. The record is from Rfam by way of RNAcentral. Lineage: Eukaryota; Fungi; Ascomycota; Sordariomycetes; Hypocreales; Cordycipitaceae.